GUACUAACAGGAUUCCCCUAGUAACUGCGAGUGAAGCGGGAAGAGCUCAAAUUUAAAAUCUGGCGGUCCUUGCGGCCGUCCGAGUUGUAAUCUGGAGAAGUGCUUUCCGCGCUGGACCGUGUACAAGUCUCUUGGAACAGAGCGUCGUAGAGGGUGAGAAUCCCGUCUUUGACACGGACUACCAGUGCUUUGUGAUGCGCUCUCGACGAGUCGAGUUGUUUGGGAAUGCAGCUCAAAACGGGUGGUAAAUUCCAUCUAAAGCUAAAUAUUGGCGAGAGACCGAUAGCGAACAAGUACCGUGAGGGAAAGAUGAAAAGAACUUUGGAAAGAGAGUUAAACAGUACGUGAAAUUGCUGAAAGGGAAACGCUUGAAGUCAGUCGCGUCGGCCGGGACUCAGCCUUGCUUCUGCCUGGUUUACUUUCCGGUCGACGGGUCAGCAUCAGUUUUGGUCGUCGGAAAAUGGCAGGGGGAACGUGGCAUCUUCGGAUGUGUUAUAGCCCUCGGUCGCAUACGAUGGUUGGGACUGAGGAUCUCAGCACACCUCUAUGGUCGGGGUUCGCCCACGUUUGUGCUUAGGAUGCUGGCAUAAUGGCUUUAAACGACCCGUCUUGAAACACGGACCAAGGAGUCUAACAUGCGUGCGAGUGUUUGGGUGGAAAACCCGAGCGCGUAAUGAAAGUGAAAGUUGAGACCUCUGUCGCGGAGGGCAUCGACGCCCGGACCAGAACUUCUGUGACGGAUCUGCGGUAGAGCAUGUAUGUUGGGACCCGAAAGAUGGUGAACUAUGCCUGAAUAGGGUGAAGCCAGAGGAAACUCUGGUGGAGGCUCGUAGCGAUUCUGACGUGCAAAUCGAUCGUCAAAUUUGGGUAUAGGGGCGAAAGACUAAUCGAACCAUCUAGUA
RNAcentral lists this ribosomal RNA (902 nucleotides) under Calcipostia guttulata. RNAcentral's name for it is "partial 28S ribosomal RNA". It matches the Rfam family "Eukaryotic large subunit ribosomal RNA", at positions 56 to 949 of the family's 3401-position model. The record is from RNAcentral. Lineage: Eukaryota; Fungi; Basidiomycota; Agaricomycetes; Polyporales; Postiaceae.